Molecule: non-coding RNA, 105 nt
Organism: Kiritimatiella glycovorans
Lineage: Bacteria; Pseudomonadati; Kiritimatiellota; Kiritimatiellia; Kiritimatiellales; Kiritimatiellaceae
Source: Rfam
GAGAGCCGGAUGCGGGAAAUCCGCAUGUCCGGUUCGACGAGGGGGAGGGCAGUCCGCGGUCAUUGGCUCUAAGCCUCUCAUCCCGUGGCUCCCUCUCUACUCUAC